This is a long non-coding RNA of Neofelis nebulosa (Clouded leopard), 1648 nucleotides long. RefSeq lists it as uncharacterized. Lineage: Eukaryota; Metazoa; Chordata; Mammalia; Carnivora; Felidae. The record is from RefSeq and is a predicted model, not a curated record. The transcript has 2 exons.
ACCUGUGGGGGAAGUACAGUCAGCGCUGUGGCCAGGAGUUCCUGGCUCCUCCUCCAGAGAAAAUCCGAAAAGUCCUAAGCCUCAGGGCCAAAACCCAGGCCCCAGCCUGCGGCUGCCCUCCCUGGAGCUGCUACACCCCUCUGGAGGACCCUCUCCCUUCUCUGCUCAGCUUUUCAUCCCCCUUGUGUAGUUGAGGCCUGGAGACGGCAAAAAGUCCGUCCGCCUUCGGGCCCCAGGAGGAAGCACCAGGCAUGUCCUCGGACCGUCCUUAAACUCGGACCGUCCAACCGAGCCCAUCGCUGGCCUGGUGCCAGCUUUCUUCCCGUGCGCCGCUUUCUGAAGCAGUCCAACCACCCCUCAGCCACCUGGGUUCAAAACCCUCCCCGAGGCCAGUCUCCUCUCUUUCCUGGCCUCCCCACUUCCAACCGGCAACCAAGGGCGACUCCUCAACAAUGUCCCUCACCCCCAUCCCCAGCAUUGGCAGUGCGGGUCAUUCUCCUCGCAUUAUGGUGCGGCGGCCUCCACGCUGGGCCCCCACCUGCAGUCCGGCCUCCACCUGACACCCAAAAUUGUCCUCCUGGAGCCUGCUUCUGAACGUGUUGGAAUCUGGCUCAAAACAUGUCCUGUCUCCCUCCUAUCCGAAGGAUAAAGUCUGAACUUCCUAGUCAAGCCCCACAGGAGAAAUUUCCUUUCAAUAUUUAAUGCCAGCUCUCAGAAGCAGGUGGUGGGAGUGUGAGCCGCUACCAACUUUCUGGAAAGCAAUUUGGCAAUAGGCAUCAAAAGCCUUAAGAACUCAUACUUGAAGAAGAAAGGAGGAGGAGAAGAAGGUCUCAUACUUUUUUUUUUUAAUUAAAAAAAAUUUUUUAAUGUGUAUUUAUUUUUGAGAGAGACAGACAGACAGAGUGCAAGGGGGGAGAAGCAGAGAGAGAGGGAGACGCAGAAUCUGAAGCAGGCUCCAGGCGCUGAGUUGUCAGCACAGAGCCCAACGCGGGGCUCGAACCCACGAACCCUGAGAUCUUGACCUGAGCUGAAGUUGGACGUUCAACCGACUGAGCCACCCAGGCGCCCGGGUCUCAUACUUUUUUGACUCAGAAAUAUAUCUCCUUCUAAUAAUUAUCUUCAGGAAAUAAAGAUGUGGGCCUAGAUAAUAAAAGGAUGGGAUCUCAGUGAUAUUUACACUAAGAAACAGCAGAAAUCAACCUUAAUGUCCAACAGUAUGGAACUGGAUAAAUUACAGCAUGUCCAUACGAUGGAACCCGAUACAAACAUUUUUAAAUAGUUUAAAGACUAUUUAGUAACAUGGAAAAUGCCUCACCAGUGCUGACAUCAGCCUUCAAAAUUGUACACGUGUUAGUCCCAACUUUCAAAACCCUACAUAUAUACACACGCAUAGUGAUACACGUAGAGAUAGGACUACAGUGGGGCACCCGGGUGGCUCAGUCGGUUGAACGUCCAGCUUCGGCUCAGGUCAUGAUCUCCCGGUUUGUGGGCUCGAGCCCCAUGUCGGGCUCUGCGCUGACAGCUCAGAGCCUGGAGCCUGCUUCGGAUUCUGUGUUUCCCUCUCUCUCUGCUCAACCCCCACUCGUACCUGUCUCUCUCUGUCUCAAAAAUAAAUAAACAUUAAAAAAUUUAAAAAAAAGAAAAGAAA